GUGAGGAAUAUUGCGCAAUGGAGGCAACUCUGACGCAGCCAUGCCGCGUGCAGGAAGAAGGCGCUACGCGUUGUAAACUGCUUUUAACCGGGAAGAAACCCCAGGACGUGUCCUGGGUUGACGGUACCGGAGGAAUAAGCACCGGCUAACUUCGUGCCAGCAGCCGCGGUAAUACGAAGGGUGCAAGCGUUAUCCGGAUUCAUUGGGUUUAAAGGGUGCGUAGGCGGAGCGUUAAGUCAGUGGUGAAAUCCUGCAGCUUAACUGUAGAGUUGCCAUUGAUACUGGCGCUCUUGAGUGCGCUUGAAGUGGGCGGAAUGUGCCGUGUAGCGGUGAAAUGCUUAGAUAUGGCACAGAACACCAAUUGCGAAGGCAGCUCACUAAGGCGAUACUGACGCUGAGGCACGAAAGCGUGGGGAUCGAACAGGAUUAGAAACCCCAGUAGUCC
This 445-nucleotide ribosomal RNA is filed under the name uncultured bacterium. Its description in RNAcentral is "bacterial SSU rRNA". It matches the Rfam family "Bacterial small subunit ribosomal RNA", at positions 354 to 796 of the family's 1533-position model. The record is from RNAcentral.